GUGCCAGCCGCCGCGGUAAUACGUAGGGUGCGAGCGUUAAUCGGAAUUACUGGGCGUAAAGCGUGCGCAGGCGGUCUUGUAAGACAGUCGUGAAAGCCCCGGGCUUAACCUGGGAACUGCGAUUGUGACUGCAAGGCUAGAGUGUGUCAGAGGGGGGUGGAAUUCCACGUGUAGCAGUGAAAUGCGUAGAGAUGUGGAGGAACACCAAUGGCGAAGGCAGCCCCCUGGGUCGAUACUGACGCUCAUGCACGAAAGCGUGGGUAGCAAACAGGAUUAGAUACCCUGGUAGUCCACGCCCUAAACGAUGUCAACUAGGUGUUGGGUGGGUAAAACCAUUUAGUACCGGAGCUAACGCGUGCAGUUGACCGCCUGGGGAGUACGUUCGCAAGAAUGAAACUCAAAUGAAUUGGCGG
Molecule: ribosomal RNA, 413 nt
Filed under: uncultured bacterium
Lineage: Bacteria
Description: bacterial SSU rRNA
Rfam family: Bacterial small subunit ribosomal RNA
Source: RNAcentral